This 473-nucleotide ribosomal RNA is filed under the name uncultured organism. Its description in RNAcentral is "partial 16S ribosomal RNA". It matches the Rfam family "Bacterial small subunit ribosomal RNA", at positions 332 to 797 of the family's 1533-position model. The record is from RNAcentral.
UACACUCCUACGGGAGGCAGCAGUGGGGAAUUUUGGACAAUGGGCGAAAGCCUGAUCCAGCAAUGCCGCGUGAGUGAAGAAGGCCUUCGGGUUGUAAAGCUCUUUUGUCAGGGAAGAAACGGUGAAAGCUAAUAUCUUUUGCUAAUGACGGUACCUGAAGAAUAAGCACCGGCUAACUACGUGCCAGCAGCCGCGGUAAUACGUAGGGUGCAAGCGUUAAUCGGAAUUACUGGGCGUAAAGCGUGCGCAGGCGGUUUUGUAAGUCUGAUGUGAAAUCCCCGGGCUCAACCUGGGAAUUGCAUUGGAGACUGCAAGGCUAGAAUCUGGCAGAGGGGGGUAGAAUUCCACGUGUAGCAGUGAAAUGCGUAGAUAUGUGGAGGAACACCGAUGGCGAAGGCAGCCCCCUGGGUCAAGAUUGACGCUCAUGCACGAAAGCGUGGGGAGCAAACAGGAUUAGAAACCCUAGUAGUCCC